UAGGGAAUAUUGGGCAAUGGGCGAAAGCCUGACCCAGCCAUGCCGCGUGAGCGAUGACGGUCCUCGAGAUUGUAAAGCUCUUUUCUGAGGAAAGAACAUCCCGGGUAGGAAAUGCCCCGGGCUUGACGGUACCUCAGGAAUAAGGAACGGCUAACUCCGUGCCAGCAGCCGCGGUAAUACGGAGGUUCCAAGCGUUGUUCGGAAUUACUGGGCGUAAAGGGAGCGCAGGCGGACAAGUCAGUCUAAAGUGAAAUCCCGGGGCUCAACCUCGGACUUGCUUCGGAUACUGCUUGUCUUGAGUUCGUGAUAGGAAGAUGGAAUUCAGGGUGUAGCGGUGAAAUGCACAGAUAUCCUGAGGAACACCGGUGGCGAAAGCGGUCUUCUGGCGCGAAACUGACGCUGAGGCUCGAAAGCGUGGGUAGCAAACGG
RNAcentral lists this ribosomal RNA (429 nucleotides) under uncultured bacterium. RNAcentral describes it as "bacterial SSU rRNA". It matches the Rfam family "Bacterial small subunit ribosomal RNA", at positions 355 to 775 of the family's 1533-position model. The record is from RNAcentral.